CCUACGGGAGGCUGCAGUGAGGAAUAUUGGUCAAUGGCCGAGAGGCUGAACCAGCCAAGUCGCGUGAGGGAUGACGGCCCUACGGGUUGUAAACCUCUUUUGUCGGGGAGCAAAGAGAGUCACGUGUGGCUCAUUGAGAGUACCCGAAGAAAACGCAUCGGCUAACUCCGUGCCAGCAGCCGCGGUAAUACGGAGGAUGCGAGCGUUAUCCGGAUUUAUUGGGUUUAAGGGGUGCGCAGGCGGAGGUGCAAGUCAGUGGUCAAAGUGCGGGGCUCAACCCCGUACUGCCGUUGAAACUGCAGCCCUUGAGUGCAGAAGAGGAGAGUGGAACUCCAUGUGUAGCGGUGAAAUGCGUAGAUAUAUGGAAGAACACCAGUGGCGAAAGCGGCUCUCUGGUCUGUAACUGACGCUGAGGUUCGAAAGCGUGGGUAGCAAACAGGAUUAGAUACCCUGGUAGUC
RNAcentral lists this ribosomal RNA (459 nucleotides) under uncultured bacterium. RNAcentral's name for it is "partial 16S ribosomal RNA". It matches the Rfam family "Bacterial small subunit ribosomal RNA", at positions 338 to 795 of the family's 1533-position model. The record is from RNAcentral.